RNAcentral lists this long non-coding RNA (663 nucleotides) under Brassica napus (rape). RNAcentral describes it as "long non-coding RNA (BNAP_LNC008106)". Lineage: Eukaryota; Viridiplantae; Streptophyta; Magnoliopsida; Brassicales; Brassicaceae. The record is from RNAcentral.
AUUGUUCAACUUUUAUUUUAUUCAUUCUAUUCAUUAAGUGGCCACCAAUUAAAGCUUAUGUCACUCUUUAUAACAUCUAACAUAAUUGUAUAUAUAAAAUAAUAAAUAAAUAUUAUGUAACUUUUAUAAUAAAGUAUUAUGCCUCUUGCAAAAAAAAAACAUUGGGAGUGUGAUAUAUGUCAUCUUAUUUAUUGCCCUUUAUAAUUUUUUUUUUUUUGGAUAAAAUGUGAAAUUUACUGAUAAAUGAAGAAGAAUAGAAAUUUACAAAAGAUUAUGAAAAGUUAUAAAAGCUAUAAAAGAAAAACUAUACAAUGCUUGUAAGAAAUGAAUUUCAAGCUCUGGUGUGUUAAGCUGUAACUUUGAACCACCGACACAUCAAGCCUGCAAACUUGUGGUCGGCCUUAUAUCGAAAAGAAGUAAUCAUAUUUCGCAUAGCCUUAUCAAUAAUCUGAACCACAUGUUCUACUGUCUAAAACCCUGUUUGGUGCUUCUCUCAUUCCUCUCUUUCUAAAGAUGAUAGAUACUACUCCCAAACACCAUUUUGAGAAGAAUUUUGUCCAUGACAUGAAGAAAAUUUCCACUCACAAACUGCAUUGUAGCCAUCUAGUCUGGAUCAGUCCUACCCCCACUCAGUCGAUUUACAAGCUUGUCCCAUACCGUAAG